CUAGCCCCUCCUUGACAUUUUCAGAUUGCCAGUGUCACUGCUCUCAUGCUGUGGGGCCAUCACUAAGGGCAGGAAGGGUUACUUGAGAACAAGCAGAAGGACACUCCAUAGUUGAUCCGAUAACGAGAUGUCCACUAGAGCCAACGAAAAGAAGCAAAGAAAAAAGAUUCACACAGAGCCCUCUCUCAGAAGUGACCCCCAAACAUUAAACAAUAAAAGGAGGCCCUUCCACAAGACGUGUUUUAGUACGCAGCUCCAUAACAAGUGGGAAGGGAUAUAGCUGCCAUGUCACAAGGGGACACCAGCUGUAAGAAUGAAAAAUAUGCUCAUGUUUUGCAAAGUCAGGUAAGCAUGGUGUGAAGCCUU
Molecule: long non-coding RNA, 366 nt
Filed under: Chinchilla lanigera (long-tailed chinchilla)
Lineage: Eukaryota; Metazoa; Chordata; Mammalia; Rodentia; Chinchillidae
Description: lncRNA (ENSCLAG00000029180.1)
Source: RNAcentral